Molecule: small nuclear RNA, 182 nt
Filed under: Heterocephalus glaber (naked mole-rat)
Lineage: Eukaryota; Metazoa; Chordata; Mammalia; Rodentia; Bathyergidae
Description: 7SK RNA
Rfam family: 7SK RNA
About the family: 7SK was discovered as an abundant small nuclear RNA in the mid-70s but a possible function has only recently been suggested. Two independent studies have found that 7SK RNA binds the CDK9/cyclin T complex (known as elongation factor P-TEFb). P-TEFb activates transcription by phosphorylating the C-terminal domain of RNA polymerase II.
Source: Rfam by way of RNAcentral
GGAUGUGAGGGUGAUCUGGCUGCGACAUCUGUCACCACAGAGAGGGUCGAUUCUGCUGAUCUGGCUGGCUAGGGGGGUGUCCCCUUCCUCCCUCACAGCUCCAAGUGGAUCCUUCCCGAAGCUGCUCACUUGGUUGAAGAAGAUGACAACUCCUGAUAGAGGAGGACCAUCGUGAAUUCUAA